GAUGAACGCUGGCGGCGUGCCUAAUACAUGCAAGUCGAGCGAACAGACGAGGAGCUUUCUCCUCUGACGUUGUCGGCGGACGGGUUAUUAACACGUGUAUAACCUACCUAUAAGACUGGGAUAACUUCGGGAAACCGGAGCUAAUACCGGAUAAUAUAUUGAACCGCAUUGUGCAAUAGUGAGAGACGGUUUUUGUGGGGGUUAUAGAUGGAUCCGCGCCGCAUUAGCUAGUUGGUAAGGUAACGGCUUACCAAGGCAACGAUGCGUAGCCGCCCUGAGAGCGUGAUCGCACACAUUGGAACUGAGACACGGUCCAGACUCCUACGGGAGGCAGCAGUAGGGACUCUUCCGCAAUGGGCGAAAGCCUGACGGAGCAACGCCGCGUGAGUGAUGAAGGUCUUCGGAUCGUAAAACUCUGUUAUUAGGGAAGAACAAAUGUGUAAGUAACUAUGAACGUAUUGACGGUACCUAAUCAGAAAGCCACGGCUAACUACGUG
Molecule: ribosomal RNA, 497 nt
Filed under: uncultured bacterium
Lineage: Bacteria
Description: partial 16S ribosomal RNA
Rfam family: Bacterial small subunit ribosomal RNA
Source: RNAcentral